AGCAGCCGCCACGGGAAUACGUAGGUGGCAAGCGUUGUCCGGAAUUAUUGGGCGUAAAGGGCUCGCAGGCGGUUUCUUAAGUCUGAUGUGAAAGCCCCCGGCUCAACCGGGGAGGGUCAUUGGAAACUGGGAAACUUGAGUGCAGAAGAGGAGAGUGGAAUUCCACGUGUAGCGGUGAAAUGCGUAGAGAUGUGGAGGAACACCAGUGGCGAAGGCGACUCUCUGGUCUGUAACUGACGCUGAGGAGCGAAAGCGUGGGGAGCGAACAGGAUUAGAUACCCGAGUAGUCCCUGUCUCUUAUAU
RNAcentral lists this ribosomal RNA (303 nucleotides) under uncultured bacterium. RNAcentral describes it as "partial 16S ribosomal RNA". It matches the Rfam family "Bacterial small subunit ribosomal RNA", at positions 507 to 809 of the family's 1533-position model. The record is from RNAcentral.